This 251-nucleotide ribosomal RNA is filed under the name uncultured bacterium. RNAcentral's name for it is "partial 16S ribosomal RNA". It matches the Rfam family "Bacterial small subunit ribosomal RNA", at positions 524 to 775 of the family's 1533-position model. The record is from RNAcentral.
UACGUAGGGGGCAAGCGUUGUCCGGAUUUAUUGGGCGUAAAGAGCGUGUAGGCGGCUGGGAAGGUCCCGCGUAAAAGGCCACGGCUCAACCGUGGUAUGCGUGGGAAACCACCUCGCUAGAGUCCGGAAGGGGAGAGUGGAAUUCCCGGUGUAGCGGUGAAAUGCGCAGAUAUCGGGAAGAACACCAGUGGCGAAGGCGACUCUCUGGGACGGCACUGACGCUGAGACGCGAAAGCGUGGGGAGCGAACAG